Erinaceus europaeus (western European hedgehog) is the source of this 311-nucleotide unclassified non-coding RNA. Its record names the gene 7SK. It matches the Rfam family "7SK RNA". Rfam says of the family: 7SK was discovered as an abundant small nuclear RNA in the mid-70s but a possible function has only recently been suggested. Two independent studies have found that 7SK RNA binds the CDK9/cyclin T complex (known as elongation factor P-TEFb). The record is from Ensembl. NCBI's taxonomy places the organism in Eukaryota, Metazoa, Chordata, Mammalia, Eulipotyphla, Erinaceidae.
AUGUGAGGGUGCUCUGGCUGUGACAUCUGUCACCCCAUUGAUUAGAAGGGUUGAUUCAGCUGAUCUGGUUGGUUAGGAGGUGUCCCCUUCCUCCCUCACCACUGAAUGUGCUUCCCUCCCAAAGCUGCAGUGCUUGGUGAAGAAGACAGCCUUCCCCAACAGAGAUGGACAGGUCUCGGUGGAGGGUAUCAGACUAGCUGUACUCCCCUGCUAGAAAUUCCAAACAAGCUCUCAAAAUGUCUCUUGGAAAUUUGCCAGAUUUCAUAUGAAAAGAGUCAUUCUAUAUUUUUCCUAUAGAAAGAAGAUCAUUU